UAAACUUAAUUAUUCUAAGCCACAUGCCAAAGAUAAGGCUUUAUGGAAUGUUAUUAAAAGUAUAUGUGAUAAAUAAUCCAUAUGCCUUGUCACAUAUUUUCUUGGAACAUAGUCAGCACUUGAUGAACUCUGGUUAUUAUUACCAUGAUGAUGAUGUAACACUGUGCAGCAGAAUUGAGAACAGACAGAAUGAGAGACUACAGAACACUGAACCAUGAAAAAUAGGCGGAAGAGUGGCCUGAGAAGCACUCAUGGUUCUGGCAAUGAAAGGUCAAGCCACAACCUGGUAGAAAAACACACAUCUGAUAAAGAACUUGACUCCAGGACACAAAAAGAAUCCUUGAAGAUGCACAAAUGGAAAAUGGGUAGUUUCUCAAAAGGUUGUACGUGUUCCCACCAUGUGGUUGGGUCAGUUCCGCGUCUCGGUAUCUACCCCAAAUUAAAAAAUCAUAUGACCAGA
Molecule: long non-coding RNA, 460 nt
Organism: Odocoileus virginianus texanus
Lineage: Eukaryota; Metazoa; Chordata; Mammalia; Artiodactyla; Cervidae
Source: RefSeq, a predicted model, not a curated record